RNAcentral lists this transfer RNA (76 nucleotides) under Rhodocyclales bacterium. Its description in RNAcentral is "tRNA-Thr". It matches the Rfam family "tRNA". Rfam says of the family: Transfer RNA (tRNA) molecules are approximately 80 nucleotides in length. Their secondary structure includes four short double-helical elements and three loops (D, anti-codon, and T loops). The record is from RNAcentral. Lineage: Bacteria; Pseudomonadati; Pseudomonadota; Betaproteobacteria; Rhodocyclales. RNAcentral also lists the same sequence under 1 other name.
GCCGGCAUAGCUCAGUUGGUAGAGCAACCGCCUUGUAAGCGGUAGGUCACCAGUUCGAUUCCGGUUGCCGGCACCA